Molecule: long non-coding RNA, 513 nt
Organism: Salmo salar (Atlantic salmon)
Lineage: Eukaryota; Metazoa; Chordata; Actinopteri; Salmoniformes; Salmonidae
Source: RefSeq, a predicted model, not a curated record
CAACUGGUUUUGGAAUGACAGGUCAUCCUUGAUUUUUUCCCCCCUGUUUUUUAAACCUAUUUAACUUUUCUAUUUCGGAUAAAAAGGUCUCAGUGGGUACUAGGUGGCUAGCUAACGUAAAAUGUACGACAAGAAGGACAUCGGGAAACAUCCUAGGCGGUUCUGGCUGAUGACCUGUCUCCAUAGCUGAGAGAAACCAAGGAGGAAUAUCACUUCGUUCCCAACAAUACUGCUAAUAUUUCUAACUGUACCGAUGAGAAAGAGUAGGGCAGACUUAUAUAAUACAGAAAUGUUCUUGUUCUGCCAAUCAUAUGUUGGAAACCAUUGUCAAGGAAUACAAUUUCCACAAAAAGUGUUCAACUAGUUAUCUGUUUCUUGAACACCAGUGACUCUUCUAAGGACAAUAAUAACUCUUACCUGUAGGAAAAUGUCUAAAUGUACAAUAAGGGGUAUAUCCUUAAUAAAAUAAUUGAUGGUUAAUUGUGGAUGGACAUGACAAUUAACUAACACUUA